Homo sapiens (human) is the source of this 199-nucleotide long non-coding RNA. RefSeq lists it as uncharacterized. The record is from RefSeq and is a predicted model, not a curated record. Lineage: Eukaryota; Metazoa; Chordata; Mammalia; Primates; Hominidae. The transcript has 3 exons.
GAAGACCUUUAUGAUAAUCUGCUUCCACUUAAUGAAUAGUUUAAGGUUGCUCUGAUGAAUUAAAGGCAAUGUAACUAUGAAACAAGAAUCAUAUUUUUCUUCUUCCGAAUCUUGUGUUACAGACCCUGGAGAUCAAGAAAGCAGUUGCUCUUCUCUAACAUAGGCCUUCCUUGUGGCAAAUUACCAUUACUAGCUGCAU